AAUGCCAAGAAGAGGCUUCAACAAUAACGGAUGAAGAUGAGCUGUACGACAAGUGUGAGACAUGGAUUGCUACACGUGUUACAAAGGAGAGCAAAUUUGCAGAUGAAGAAACACAGAAGAAGGCUGAAGAGAUAGUGAGUGCAUGCAUUUUACUAAAGUUCAUUGUGGACGAUUUCAAUUGUCAUGCUAAAUUUUAAUGAAGUCUGCAGCAACACAUUUUAAUUGUGAUGCUAAAUUUUAAUUUUGUGAACAGAUUGAGUUGAAGGAGAAGGUUUCUACUGGAGAAACUAGCCUAAGUGGGUAUAAUGAUGUCUUGGAGAAGGCUUUGGGGAAGGACCAUGGUGGCCGAGUGCGGGGGGUUGCCGGCUUUGUCAACCCAACAACCUACUUUCACCUCCCUAGACGUACCAGCAGACAAAGCAUAGAAGAAACGAUUAAAAUCAGCCUGGAAAAAGUACUGGCUGAGCAAACGACAAAGAUCAUAGAAGAGAUAAGGAAGAAAACAAUUGAAGAAAACAAUGCAUGACCAAGUGCAAGCCCCCAAUGCACAAGCUGAAAUUGAAGAAGUCACUGGGAAGAAUAUCAAAGGCCAAGUCGAAGUGAAUGGCUAAGUGGAAGGGAAUGACGAACCUGGGGUGAAGUCAACCUUAAUUUUCAAGUGUCUUGAAGCAAUGGAGGUGAACGAAGUUGCUAAAAAGAAAACUUCAAACAAGAGGAGGCGGUGCGAACCCAAGUUUACGCAACCUGAAGAAGUGUUUGGUCAGGAGAUAGCAGAGACUGAUUGCAAGGCAGCCGAGGAANNNN
Molecule: long non-coding RNA, 804 nt
Filed under: Fragaria vesca (wild strawberry)
Lineage: Eukaryota; Viridiplantae; Streptophyta; Magnoliopsida; Rosales; Rosaceae
Description: long non-coding RNA (FVES_LNC002963)
Source: RNAcentral